Molecule: ribosomal RNA, 321 nt
Filed under: uncultured eukaryote
Lineage: Eukaryota
Description: partial 18S ribosomal RNA
Rfam family: Eukaryotic small subunit ribosomal RNA
Source: RNAcentral
CCCUUAGAUGUUCGGAGCUGCACGCGCGCUACACUGAAGGAAGCAGCGUGUUAGAGCGCCUGGCUUGAAAGAGCUGGGUAAUCCGGUGAAUGUCCUUCGUGAUUGGGAUAGGGACUUGUAAUUAUUUCCCUUGAACGAGGAAUACCUAGUAAGCGCGAGUCAUCAGCUCGUGCUGAUUACGUCCCUGCCCUUUGUACACACCGCCCGUCGCUGCAACUGAUUGGGUGACCUGGUGAACAUCUUGGACCGGUCCACUCAAUUUCGAGAGGACUGGAAAAGGCCGUAAAUCAGGUACAUCUAGAAAUUGCAAAAGUCGUAACA